AACGAACGCUGGCGGCAUGCCUAACACAUGCAAGUCGAACGAGAUCUUCGGAUCUAGUGGCGCACGGGUGCGUAACGCGUGGGAAUCUGCCCUUGGGUACGGAAUAACUCAGAGAAAUUUGUGCUAAUACCGUAUAAUGUCUUCGGACCAAAGAUUUAUCGCCCAAGGAUGAGCCCGCGUAGGAUUAGCUAGUUGGUGAGGUAAAAGCUCACCAAGGCGACGAUCCUUAGCUGGUCUGAGAGGAUGAUCAGCCACACUGGGACUGAGACACGGCCCAGACUCCUACGGGAGGCAGCAGUGGGGAAUAUUGGACAAUGGCGAAAGCCUGAUCCAGCAAUGCCGCGUGAGUGAUGAAGGCCCUAGGGUUGUAAAGCUCUUUUACCCGGGAUGAUAAUGACAGUACCGGGAGAAUAAGCUCCGGCUAACUUCGUG
RNAcentral lists this ribosomal RNA (432 nucleotides) under uncultured bacterium. RNAcentral describes it as "bacterial SSU rRNA". It matches the Rfam family "Bacterial small subunit ribosomal RNA", at positions 29 to 507 of the family's 1533-position model. The record is from RNAcentral.